GAUGAACGCUGGCGGCGUGCCUAAUACAUGCAAGUCGAGCGAACGGACGAGAAGCUUGCUUCUCUGAUGUUAGCGGCGGACGGGUGAGUAACACGUGGAUAACCUACCUAUAAGACUGGGAUAACUUCGGGAAACCGGAGCUAAUACCGGAUGAUAUUUUGAACUGCAUGGUUCAAAAGUGAAAGACGGUCUUGCUGUCACUUAUAGAUGUAUCCGCGCUCCAUUCGCUAGUUGGGAAGGUAACGGCUUACCAAGGCAACGAUGCAGAGCCGACCCUAGAGCGUGGUUCGACACACGGGAACUGAGACACGGUCCCCACACCUGGGGGGGGACACAGUAGGGAAUCCUACGCGAGGGGGGAGUGCCUGACAGUGGAACGCGGCCGGAGUCAUGAACGUCUUCUGAUCGUAGAGCUCUGUUAUUAGGGGAGAACAUAUGUGUAAGUAACUGUGCACAUCUUGACGGUACCUAAUCAGAAAGCCACGGCUAACUACGUG
Molecule: ribosomal RNA, 497 nt
Filed under: uncultured bacterium
Lineage: Bacteria
Description: partial 16S ribosomal RNA
Rfam family: Bacterial small subunit ribosomal RNA
Source: RNAcentral